GUGGGGAAUCUUGCACAAUGGGGGAAACCCUGAUGCAGCGACGCCGCGUGAGUGAUGAAGUCCUUCGGGAUGUAAAGCUCUUUCGACAGGAACGAUAAUGACGGUACCUGGAGAAGAAGCUGCGGCUAACUACGUGCCAGCAGCCGCGGUAAUACGUAGGCAGCAAGCGUUGUUCGGAAUUAUUGGGCGUAAAGAGUAUGUAGGCGGUUCACUAAGUCUGAUGUGAAAUCUCCUGGCUUAACUGGGAGGGUGCGUCGGAUACUGGUGGGCUCGAGUACGGGAGAGGGAAGCGGAAUUCCUGGUGUAGCGGUGAAAUGCGUAGAUAUCAGGAGGAACACCGGUGGUGUAGACGGCUUCCUGGACCGUAACUGACGCUGAGAUACGAAAGCGUGGGUAGCAAACAGGAUUAGAAACCCCUGUAGUCC
This 425-nucleotide ribosomal RNA is filed under the name uncultured bacterium. RNAcentral describes it as "bacterial SSU rRNA". It matches the Rfam family "Bacterial small subunit ribosomal RNA", at positions 354 to 796 of the family's 1533-position model. The record is from RNAcentral.